Molecule: unclassified non-coding RNA, 147 nt
Filed under: soil metagenome
Description: partial internal transcribed spacer 1
Source: RNAcentral
CCGAGUUUACAUCUCCCAAACCCCUGUGAACAUACCAAUUGUUGCCUCGGCGGAUCAGCCCGCUCCCGGUAAAACGGGACGGCCCGCCAGAGGACCCCUAAACUCUGUUUCUAUAUGUAACUUCUGAGUAAAACCAUAAAUAAAUCA